Molecule: ribosomal RNA, 1377 nt
Filed under: Ampittia virgata
Lineage: Eukaryota; Metazoa; Arthropoda; Insecta; Lepidoptera; Hesperiidae
Description: 16S ribosomal RNA
Rfam family: Eukaryotic large subunit ribosomal RNA (bases 1092-1251)
Source: RNAcentral
GGGGGUAAAUUAAUUAAGUUAAUAAUUAAUAAAAAAAAUUUUAUUAUGAUAUAUUUUAAUGGGGGUUAAAGUAUAGUUAUAAGAAAAAAUUUGAAAAUUUAUAGUUAAAAAGUAUUGUGAAAGAAAUUUGAAAUAUAUGAAAAUUAAUUAAUUAGUAAGUAAAUUUAAUUUAUUGUAUCUUGGGUAUCAGAGUUUAUUAAUAAAAAUUAUUAAAUAAAAAAAUCUCGAAUUUAAAAGAGAUAAUUAAUUAAAAAAUUUAUUGUUUUAUAAAUAUUUUAAAUAAUUAAUUUGAAAUGAAAUGUUAAUCGUUUUUAAAUAUAUCUAGUUUUUUUAGAAAUAAAUUAAAUUUAUAAUUUUUUUUUGUAAUAAAAAAUUAAUUUUUUAUUACAAAAAAAAAAUUUAAUAUUUUAAGGGAUAAUCUUUAAAUUAAAUUUUUAUAAUUAUAUAUAUAUAUAUAUAUAUAUUAAAUUUUAAAAUUUUUAAAAUUUAUAUUGUUUAUAAAUUAUAUUUUUUUAUAAAAAAUUUUAUUAAUUAAAAAAUUUUUAAUUAAAAAUUUAAUUUUUUAUAAAAAAUUAUUUUUAAAUAAAAUAAAAAUAGAAAUAAUGAUAAAAUUAGUAUAAAUUUAAAAUAAAUUAAAAAUAAAUUAAUUAGAAAAUUAAUUAAAAGGAAUUCGGCAAAAUUUUAUAUUCACCUGUUUAUCAAAAACAUGUCUUUUUGAAAAUAAUUUAAAGUCAAAUCUGCCCACUGAUUGAUUUAAAGGGCUGCAGUAAAUUGACUGUACAAAGGUAGCAUAAUCAUUAGUCUUUUAAUUGAAGACUUGUAUGAAAGAUUUGAUGAAAUAUAAACUGUCUCUUUUUUAUAAUUAGAAUUUAAUUUUUUAGUAAAAAAGCUAAAAUUUAUUUAAAAGACGAGAAGACCCUAUAGAGUUUUAUUAUUCAUUUAAUUAUAAUUUUUUAUUAAAUUUAAAUAAAAAUUAAUUUAAUUAUUUUAUUGGGGUGAUAAAAAAAUUAAAUAAACUUUUUUUGUAUUUAAACAUUAAUUAAUGAUUAUAUGAUCCAUAAAUUAUGAUUAUAAGAAAAAAUUACCUUAGGGAUAACAGCGUAAUUUUCUUUUUUAGUUCUUAUAAAAAAAAAAGUUUGCGACCUCGAUGUUGGAUUAAGAUAAAAUUUAAAUGUAGAAGUUUAAAUUUUUUGAUCUGUUCGAUCAUUAAAAUCUUACAUGAUCUGAGUUCAAACCGGUGUAAGCCAGGUUGGUUUCUAUCUUUAGAAAUUUAAAUUAUUUUAGUACGAAAGGAUUAAAUAAUUAAAAUAAUUUUAAAUAAAAGAAUUUUAUUAAUAUAUUAAUUAUAUAUAUAUAUAUAUAUAUUGCAUAUAUAAU